Molecule: non-coding RNA, 108 nt
Filed under: Actinomyces radicidentis
Lineage: Bacteria; Bacillati; Actinomycetota; Actinomycetes; Actinomycetales; Actinomycetaceae
Description: TPP sequence
Rfam family: TPP riboswitch aptamer (THI element)
About the family: Vitamin B(1) in its active form thiamin pyrophosphate (TPP) is an essential coenzyme that is synthesised by coupling of pyrimidine and thiazole moieties in bacteria. The previously detected thiamin-regulatory element, thi box was extended, resulting in a new, highly conserved RNA secondary structure, the THI element, which is widely distributed in eubacteria and also occurs in some archaea.
Source: RNAcentral
UGGACCUCGCACGGGAGCCCGGAACCGCCGGGCUGAGAGGGAGCCAGACGCUCCGACCGUUGAACCUGUCCGGUUAGCACCGGCGUAGGAAGCGAUGAUCUCAGGGCG